Molecule: transfer RNA, 72 nt
Filed under: Phycisphaeraceae bacterium
Lineage: Bacteria; Pseudomonadati; Planctomycetota; Phycisphaerae; Phycisphaerales; Phycisphaeraceae
Description: tRNA-Thr
Rfam family: tRNA
About the family: Transfer RNA (tRNA) molecules are approximately 80 nucleotides in length. Their secondary structure includes four short double-helical elements and three loops (D, anti-codon, and T loops).
Source: RNAcentral
GCCACCUUAGCUCAGUGGUAGAGCGGCGCUUUCGUAAAGCGCAGGUCCAGGGUUCGAAUCCCUGAGGUGGCU